This 376-nucleotide ribosomal RNA is filed under the name uncultured bacterium. Its description in RNAcentral is "bacterial SSU rRNA". It matches the Rfam family "Bacterial small subunit ribosomal RNA", at positions 28 to 404 of the family's 1533-position model. The record is from RNAcentral.
GACGAACGCUGGCGGCGUGCUUAACACAUGCAAGUCGAGCGGUAAGGCCCUUUCGGGGGUACACGAGCGGCGAACGGGUGAGUAACACGUGGGUGACCUGCCCUCAGCUCUGGGAUAAGCCUGGGAAACCGGGUCUAAUACCGGAUAUGACUCCAUGACGCAUGUUGUGGGGUGGAAAGCCUUGUGCGGCUGAGGAUGGGCCCGCGGCCUAUCAGCUUGUUGGUGGGGUGAUGGCCUACCAAGGCGACGACGGGUAGCCGGCCUGAGAGGGCGACCGGCCACACUGGGACUGAGACACGGCCCAGACUCCUACGGGAGGCAGCAGUGGGGAAUCUUGCGCAAUGGGACGAAAGCCUGACGCAGCGACGCCGCGUGA